UUCCUUUACUACUUGGAUUACCGUGGUAAUUCUAGAGAUAAUACAUGCUAAAAAUCCCGACUGUUUGGAAGGGAUGUAUUUAUUAGUUAAAAAAUCAAUGCUUUUCGGAGCUCUUUGAUGAUUCAUAAUAACUUUUCGAAUCGCAUGGCCUUGUGCUGGCGAUGGUUCAUUCAAAUUUCUGCCCUAUCAACUUUCGAUGGUAGGAUAGUGGCCUACCAUGGUUUCAACGGGUAACGGGGAAUAAGGGUUCGAUUCCGGAGAGGGAGCCUGAGAAACGGCUACCACAUCCAAGGAAGGCAGCAGGCGCGCAAAUUACCCAUUCCCGACACGGGGAGGGGGAGUGUACCCAAAAUAAAA
RNAcentral lists this ribosomal RNA (357 nucleotides) under uncultured Saccharomycetes. RNAcentral describes it as "SSU rRNA". It matches the Rfam family "Eukaryotic small subunit ribosomal RNA", at positions 127 to 467 of the family's 1831-position model. Lineage: Eukaryota; Fungi; Ascomycota; Saccharomycetes. The record is from RNAcentral.